UUUUCUUCUCUCCUGACAUCCAGAUUAAGGACAAAACCUGGGAGACUUUGGAAUUGUUUUCAGCCUCUUCACCAUUUCAUAUUGAAAUCAAGCAGGGCCUGCCAGGCCCUGCCAGGAACACUGUCCCUGCCAUCUUCUCCACUGUUAGCCAGCUGCUGAAUUGCAAACUCUAUGGACCACCGGGAAAACAGAAUACAUCAGAUUGUCUAUACAACCUGAUAGGGAAUGCUGAUACAUAAUGAGGGGAGUGACAUUAGCAAGUUUCAAAAAAUCCUUAAGAAUCAUUAUCAGAAAUCACAUUGGUAUUUAUUGGAAAGUAGAGACUAGAUUUAGACCUUUGUACCCAGUUAUAUAUGAAAAGCAAUGAACUUCUCUGAUCGCUGUAUCUAAAAUAUUAGCCAUAGAUUCUACCCUCUUAUUCUAUGUUAUGUUCCUUUGUAGGCUUUAUUAUUACUGAUUUUUUUUGUUUGCUUUCUGCUUCUUGUACUGGAAUAAAAGCUUCGUUGAUGCAA
Vicugna pacos (alpaca) is the source of this 512-nucleotide non-coding RNA. The record is from RefSeq and is a predicted model, not a curated record. Lineage: Eukaryota; Metazoa; Chordata; Mammalia; Artiodactyla; Camelidae.